Molecule: long non-coding RNA, 1463 nt
Filed under: Mus pahari (shrew mouse)
Lineage: Eukaryota; Metazoa; Chordata; Mammalia; Rodentia; Muridae
Description: lncRNA (MGP_PahariEiJ_G0006227.1)
Source: RNAcentral
ACUACUGGGGGAACAGUGACAGAGGAGGGGGUAGAGAGGAAGGUCUCCGGAGAAAGUCUUACUGGGGUCAGAGACCAUGCCGGCUCCACAAUGACCGGUGGGAAAGGGAGGGUGCAGUGUAGACAGAGAAAGUGGCAACAGGAACCACAGGGGGAGCAGCAGCCAUCCCAGACCUUGGGGCUCUUGCAUUUAUAUCCUCUUCAGGGUCCCCAGACUUCCAAACAAACUAUCUGCAGGUGGCAAGGACCACACCCCUCCUAGAGCACAAGGCAGUCAGAGUUAGUGGCUGUGGAUAACCUAAAACAGCCCCAUAUCCCACACUCAGGAUUAAAACAAUAACAUAUGCACUUAACAUAACUAGGUUUUUAAAGAAACCAAAAUUCUCACUACAAGGAGGGGCAUACCCUAUGUACAAAGUCCUGAGACAGAAAUUACCCCAAAGGUCAGUGGUGUGGGAGCCCCGGAGCAAGGGUCCUGGGAAAGGGGAGUCCAGAGCUGAGAGGGGAAGGCUUUGUUGACCUCGUUGGCCAUGCCAUGCAGUUUAAGCGUUGCCAUUUUUCAGCAAGAUUCCUCUGGGUGCAGCUUGGAGGCGAUGUCCAGGCCCCUGGUGGUGCAAUUGGCUGCCGAUAGAGGUUGUUACUUUGACUCAGGUGAAAGAUGAGCAUUCAGGAGUUUGGGGCUCAGGGAUGGAGAGGAGGGAAAAUUGAGGAGCAACAUAACAGUAUUCAACAGCAUGGUGGAAGCUGUCAAGAACAGUUUCUGGGCCUCACAAGAGGCUUCUGUAAAAGGACCAAACGGGUAGCAUAUGGCCCCUAGUUAAAGUAUCCAGGUUGACAAGUUCCACUGACCUGAGCAACUGUGACCACAGUUAAGACCGCCAGUGUUUCUGUCACCCACAGGUGCACACAUGCAUAGAGGUGUACACACCUAAGACAUGUGCACCAGGUACCCUUGAUGGGCUUCUCAGUCCAGCACACAGUGAAAACACUUUUGAAGGCACAGUGAGCUACGUGUCCCCCAAAUCUUACAGGAAGUGGUGACUGCCUCAAAUUCAAAGCUAGGCACGGUGGCACACACCUUCGAUCCCAACACUCAGGAGGCAAGAGGAUCUAUACAAGUUUGAGGCCAGCCUGGUUUACAUGAUCAAUUCCAGGCCAACCAAGGGCUACAGUAGUGUGAGACCCUGACUCAAAACAAACAACAAAAGAAACAAAGAGAAAGAAAAGCUCUGAGCUCUGUGCUGUGUGGCAGAGGCAGAAUCUUGUCUGAAAGAUGAGAGGCGUAACUGAGGACACGGGGACAGAUCUCCUGUGGGGGGAAAACAUCAGUGGACAUGAGCAGCAAGUAGACAGUGGGAGGGAGGCGAGGUGGAGGGGCUUGGCUUUUGUUUUUUGAUUACUGAGAUAAUUUGACCACAUAUAUUGGCCAACAGAGAGACUCUGAACAAGCAGUAGAAAUUCAAG